This 773-nucleotide unclassified non-coding RNA is filed under the name Hevea brasiliensis (rubber tree). Lineage: Eukaryota; Viridiplantae; Streptophyta; Magnoliopsida; Malpighiales; Euphorbiaceae. The record is from RNAcentral.
AAAAGAUGAAAUUAUACAUGUAGUGUAAUUAAAAGAAAAUGAGGGGGUAAUUAUUUGAAAUAAUGAAACCUUGAUUAUUAUAAUAAUUAAACAAAUAUUAGUGGACUAUAUAAAGCCAUAAAAUGCCAAAGUCCACCACUUCAAUCAUCUUCUUCUUCACUUCACUAAAGUGGCCGAAACAAAGCUCCCAAGUUCUUCCAUGGAGUUCCAUCAUCCAAGCUUAAAAUCACCCUCCAUUUUCAACCAAAAAUCAUAAGUCCCUUCACUAAAGUUUGUCCACACACUUUGGGAAGGCUAUAGACAGCAACAAGGAGUAGAAAUUUUGGAGUUUUACAAGCUUGAGAAUUUUGUGAUUCAAGGUUAGUGCUUUAACUUUCCACCUCUCUUCUUUAAAUCUUGAUUUGGGCUUAGGAUGAGUUGAUAUGCUAAGGAAAUUUGAAGAAAUUGAUGAGUAAUUAUAAGUCUUCAAUUCGGCAGCCUUGGUACUCUUGAGAGGUUGAUUAAUUUCUACAUGUAAAUGAUGAUUAGUGAAGUUGAUUAGGCUAAUUAUAUGUACUAGCAAAUUGAUGUCAUGUGUAUGUUUGAACUUGAUACUUUGAAGUAGGGUUUUGAAAUGAAUAUUGAGGAUUAGUGCAAAUGUUCAAUUCGGCAGCUUUGAGGUACUUAGGAGAUGGAUUAUUUCAUUAAAUUAAAUGGUGAUUUGUGAUGUUAAUAACUAAGCAAGUGAGGGCUAUAUAUUGAUUGAUGAAAAUAUUUAUACUAGAACAUUUAUU